Molecule: ribosomal RNA, 468 nt
Filed under: uncultured bacterium
Lineage: Bacteria
Description: partial 16S ribosomal RNA
Rfam family: Bacterial small subunit ribosomal RNA
Source: RNAcentral
GACGAACGCUGGCGGCGUGCUUAACACAUGCAAGUCGAACGGAAAGGCCCUGCUUUUGUGGGGUGCUCGAGUGGCGAACGGGUGAGUAACACGUGAGUAACCUGCCCUUGACUUUGGGAUAACUUCAGGAAACUGGGGCUAAUACCGUAUAGGAGCUCCUGCUGCAUGGUGGGGGUUGGAAAGUUUCGGCGGUUGGGGAUGGACUCGCGGCUUAUCCGCUUGUUGGUGGGGUAGUGGCUUACCAAGGCUUUGACGGGUAGCCGGCCUGAGAGGGUGACUGGCCACAUUGGGACUGAGGUACGGCCCAGACUCCAACGGGGGGCAGCAGUGGGGAAUAUUGCCCAAUGGGAGGAAGCCUGAUGAAGAAACGCCGCGUGCGGGAUGACGGCCUUCGGGUUGUAAACCGCUUUCGCCUGUGACGAAGCGUGAGUGACGGUAAUGGGUAAAGAAGCACCGGCUAACUACGUG